CCAAUAGCGUAUAUUAAAGUUGUUGCAGUUAAAAAGCUCGUAGUUGAAUUUCGGGAUUUGCACAUCGGUCGUGCCUUAAGGGGUAUGAACUGGUGUAGUGAAUUUCUCACCUUCUGGAGAACCGUGAUGUCCUUAAUUGGGUGCCACGAGGAACCAGGACCUUUACUUUGAAAAAAUUAGAGUGUUUAAAGCAGGCAUUUUUGCUUGAAUACAUUAGCAUGGAAUAAUAAAAUAGGACGGCAUGAUUCUAUUUUGUUGGUUUCUAGGAUCACCGUAAUGAUUAAUAGGGAUAGUUGGGGGCAUUAGUAUUCAAUUGUCAGAGGUGAAAUUCUUGGAUUUAUUGAAGACUAACUACUGCGAAAGCAUUUGCCAAGGAUGUUUUCAUUAAUCAAGAACGAAAGUUAGGGGAUCGAAGACGAUCAGAUACCGUCGUAGUCUUAACCAUAAACUAUGCCGACUAGGAAUCAGACGAUGUUAAUUUUUUAAUGACUCGUUUGGCACCUUACG
This 507-nucleotide ribosomal RNA is filed under the name uncultured Glomeromycotina. RNAcentral describes it as "partial small subunit ribosomal RNA". It matches the Rfam family "Eukaryotic small subunit ribosomal RNA", at positions 591 to 1092 of the family's 1831-position model. The record is from RNAcentral. Lineage: Eukaryota; Fungi; Glomeromycota.